CCUACUAAUGUGUUCGGAUGAUAUUCUUUAUCGCUGUUAAGUGUAGCGUAACAUCCGAGUGGUCGAUUUGACCUCUAACGAGACCAGCCUCGAGACCGUGCGAGAUCUGCACCAGUUCCUGUAAGAUUUAGACAGGAAGUAGAUAUGUGUUUUGGGAUUUAUGCAUUUAAUGUCUCUACAGGAAUGCUAUUUCACAUCAGUAUUCUGAUGUUGUAUGCCAGUCGCCCAUCAUCAUGAUCAUACCCCUAAUAUAUUGAAAGACAGUAGUGGUACAGAGAUUUGGACAAUUUAUCAUCUACAGGAUGAUGUCAGGAUCACAAACAAAUAAGAAAAUCUGUUCAAGAACAUCAAGAAACUUUCCACUGAGACAUAAAAACAUGUACAGAGGCAAUUUCAAAAUACACACAAAGAAGGAUUUGUCAAAAGUGUGUUUUUGACAAAGAAGGUUUAAAACCUUUGUGGACGUGGAUAUUGAAACUCCUUAAAACUCUUGAAGGAUGAGGAAAAGGAACCAUUGAAAUGGAACGUGUUGGACAGGGUUAUCACGAUCAUGCAUUUAUAAAAGAUGACAGCAUAUCAGCACUGCCUUAAGAUUGGAGUUGAGACCUUGUAUUUUUUACAUGGAAAAUAAAGAACAGUUGUCGAAUGAAACAGAUGCUCGCAGAAGCAAAUGUAAUGAGGCCAGAAUGAUGGUGAUCAAUUUUGAAUGAUUUCAUUCUCUGGUUGAAAUGAUACUGAUCCAGUUUGGUUGACAAUGAAUACUAAGUAUUUUGUUAUAUAUAAGUAUAAUGGCUUAUUUUAAAACUGUAUAAAGCUUAAUAUAUAAUGUAACGAUAAUAUAUAGGAAUCAAUAUUUUUUGAAGGAUAAAAGAUGUAAUUUUUUUUCAAUCAGAAUUUCCUAAAAAGACUUUCUAAUGUAAGUACAUGUAUGAAUAAUAGAAGUUUAUAAUCCUUUCUUUUACUGUCAUUGAAAUACUGUAGUAAUGAACCACAAUUUUACACCAAAAAUGUUUUAAUUUAACAUGAACUUUUCAAUUUUUUAUGAAGUUUGAAUUGCGGCUCAAAUUGCUUUUUAUUGAUUUAUCUCCCUUAACCUUAGAUUUGUAGUGCAUUCUAUGUACAAUUACAAAUGUAAUAAAUUUAAUUUUGGAGCAUGGGAAAGGUCUUGUUUUGAACUCUGCUGAUUUUAACUCAAGCCGAGUAAAUGUCUUUAGUACAUGUACAUCUUUAUAUGACAAAUGAAAUGGCUAUUUUAAAAAAUAUGUACAUGUACAUGUAUAUCUGUACAAAUAAUUGAUCUUGCCAAAGAGUUAUUUCCCCUGUUCACAAUUUAAAAAAAAAUCUGAAUGAUAUAUGCAUGACUGUUUUACAAAAAGCAAAGAGAUAACUUUAUUUUAUAUGUUUUAGAGAUGUCCUCAUUGUGUUCAGUAUCUGCUUUUCUUACAAGUAUUAAUGAUAUUGAAAUAAACUGUGCUAAUAUUAAAAAGUAUUUUUAUAUCAUGACAUGAUUAUAUAUUGAACCUUGUUCAUUGGAGCUGUGGCCAGAAGUGUUUGGCUAAUACAGCUAGGGGUUCAAAAUAUUUCACAGAGUGCGAUUAAAAUACAGAAAUAAUAUAUUUUAUAUGGUAAAACAUAUAUUUAGAAAACAUCUUGUUGGAUCUUUUCUCAAGUAUGAUCUCAGUUAAAAGGAACUGGGUGUAAAAAGAGCUUACAUGUAUAUAUUCUAGAUAUUUAUUUAAAUGCUUUUGGGUCUAUGAAAAAGGCACAAGGUGAAGAAAUGUGAACAUUUUAGUCCAACUUGACAUUGGGGACAGGGAUAUACUAAGUAUGUGUAAGAUCAUGAUCAUGUGACACCUACAUGUAACAGUCAGCUAGAUUUAAAAGGGUAAUAAGGCUUUGAAGUUUGCCAAAUCAAUUUAGGUAUGACUAGGAAAUUAGAUUUGUGUGUGUGUUUUCAUACAUUUUUGUUACCCCCCCCCCCCAAUUUUAUGGUUUUAUGAUUCUGACUAAGGGUGUUGGUAUGUAACAACACCACCCCCACCACUCAUGUGGACAAAGAAUUCCUGGAACCAUCCAUGCCUUUAAUAAAAAUAUCCUAAGUGCUCUGGAAAAUUUAUUAAACCCUAGAGAUAGGGUUGAAAAUAAAGAAGUAUGAAAAUGGGAGAAAAAAUAUUGAGAAGCAGGAUGGAUGGGUCUCAUCCCUCCUUUCCAAAUAAAAAGAAGUUGGAAAAAAAAGAAAUUGUGUUUGUUUCGGGGGGAGGAGUUUUAAUUUCCUGCAUGUCUAACCAACUUGACAUGUUUAGGGAUCCAGGUUCUGAGUUUCUGAGUCAUUUAGAUUGCAUGUAAUUCAGUUUUCAUUAAAAAAAUAUUUUUGUAUCAUUUAAUAUUUACUUAUAGCACUAGCUCUGAAAUCCAAAUAACUGCCACCCACCCCCUUUUCCGUGCCCGGAUGGAUUUAUUGGAUAUGGAACCCUAAGUAUUAAAUGUUCCUGAACCAUGAUAACAGAAAUCUUGUUAACAUUUGAUGUGUAUCUAUAACUGUAAAAUAAAGGAAUUGCUCGUAACUAUUUUUCAAGAUCUGGGUUAUAUAUAGAAAACAGACUAUAGGUGUGAACGUUCUCCUUUACUGCGAACCUAAUGACCUUUGACUAGUUCAAGAGAAAC
Long non-coding RNA from Saccostrea cuccullata (small rock oyster), 2664 nucleotides. RefSeq lists it as uncharacterized. The record is from RefSeq and is a predicted model, not a curated record. Lineage: Eukaryota; Metazoa; Mollusca; Bivalvia; Ostreida; Ostreidae. The transcript is spliced from 4 exons.